Molecule: ribosomal RNA, 252 nt
Filed under: uncultured bacterium
Lineage: Bacteria
Description: partial 16S ribosomal RNA
Rfam family: Archaeal small subunit ribosomal RNA
Source: RNAcentral
UACCAGCACCCCGAGUGGUCGGGACGAUUAUUGGGCCUAAAGCAUCCGUAGCCGGUUCUGCAAGUCUUCCGUUAAAUCCAGCCGCUCAACGGAUGGGCCGCGGAGGAUACUAUAGGACUAGGAGGCGGGAGAGGCAAGCGGUACUCAGUGGGUAGGGGUAAAAUCCUUUGAUCCAUUGAAGACCACCAGUGGCGAAGGCGGCUUGCCAGAACGCGCUCGACGGUGAGGGAUGAAAGCUGGGGGAGCAAACCG